Molecule: ribosomal RNA, 527 nt
Filed under: uncultured bacterium
Lineage: Bacteria
Description: bacterial SSU rRNA
Rfam family: Bacterial small subunit ribosomal RNA
Source: RNAcentral
UGGGGAAUAUCUGGACAAUGGAGGAGACUCUGAUCCAGCAAUUCUGUGUGCACGAAGACGGUUUUCGGAUUGUAAAGUGCUUUCAGCAGGGAAGAAGGAAGUGACGGUACCUGCAGAAGAAGCGACGGCUAAAUACGUGCCAGCAGCCGCGGUAAUACGUAUGUCGCGAGCGUUAUCCGGAAUUAUUGGGCAUAAAGGGCAUCUAGGCGGAUAUACAAGUCAGGGGUGAAAACUUAGGGCUCAACUCAAAGCUUGCCUUUGAAACUGUAUAUCUAGAGUGCUGGAGAGGUGGACGGAACUACACGAGUAGAGGUGAAAUUCGUAGAUAUGUGUAGGAAUGCCGAUGAUGAAGAUAGUCCACUGGACAGCAACUGACGCUGAAGUGCGAAAGCUAGGGGAGCAAACAGGAUUAGAUACCCUGGUAGUCCUAGCUGUAAACGAUGAUUACUGGGUGUGGGCAUGAAGAGUGUCUGUGCNCGAAGCUAAUGCGAUAAGUAAUCCGCCUGGGGAGUACGACCGCAAGGUUG